Molecule: ribosomal RNA, 497 nt
Filed under: uncultured bacterium
Lineage: Bacteria
Description: partial 16S ribosomal RNA
Rfam family: Bacterial small subunit ribosomal RNA
Source: RNAcentral
GAUGAACGCUGGCGGCGUGCCUAAUACAUGCAAGUCGAGCGAACAGACGAGGAGCUUGCUCCUCUGACGUUAGCGGCGGACGGGUGAGUAACACGUGGAUAACCUACCUAUAAGACUGGGAUAACUUCGGGAAACCGGAGCUAAUACCGGAUAAUAUAUUGAACCGCAUGGUUCAAUAGUGAAAGACGGUUUUGCUGUCACUUAUAGAUGGAUCCGCGCCGCAUUAGCUAGUUGGUAAGGUAACGGCUUACCAAGGCAACGAUGCGUAGCCGACCUGAGAGGGUGAUCGGCCACCCUGGAACUGAGACACGGUCCAGACUCCUACGGGAGGCAGCAGUAGGGAAUCUACCGCAAUGGGCGAAAGCCUGACGGAGCAACGCCGCGUGAGUGAUGAAGGUCUUCGGAUCGUAAAACUCUGUUAUUAGGGAAGAACAAAUGUGUAAGUAACUAUGCACGUCUUGACGGUACCUAAUCAGAAAGCCACGGCUAACUACGUG